UCGACCGACCGGUGAACGGAUAUUAGUUUGACCUGUCUCUGCCCCCGCUGUACCUCGCGGUGCGGUCGUGUGGCAGACCUCUCUUCACAGAGCAACUCCCGGCGCCCAACGCGCCAAGGACCUGUAUUCAAUCGGAACGGACGCAGUGGGUGACCCGCUGCGCGACCGAACCGAACAUCUCACUUGUAUACGUAUGACUCUUUCGGCAACAGAUAUCUCGCCUCUCGCAUCGAUGAAGAACGUAGCGAAAUGCGAUACUUGGUGUGAAUUGGAGAAUCCCGUGAACCAUCGAGUCUUUAAAAGCAAGUUGCGCCCGAGGACAUCUGGCCGAGGGCACGCUGCCUGGGCGUCACGCCACCCAUCACUCCCCCCCCCCCAUUCGACCCAGAGGGUGACGCGGAGACUGGUCCUGUGCCGGAGAAGAUCUCCGUGCGCUGUUGGCCCAAAUGGAGGAACGCUGCGUGCUUGGGCGUGACUAGUGGUGGCCGGAGCAGACCUGCGAACGCCGCUCCUACCCAUGCUGCACUGCGUGGAACGAGAUGGGCAUUGAUUGCAGGCCGCCGGUGUGACUUGAGCGGAUCGGCGU
This 586-nucleotide ribosomal RNA is filed under the name Calycanthus occidentalis (western sweetshrub). RNAcentral's name for it is "eukaryotic LSU rRNA". The stretch from base 198 to 352 matches the Rfam family "5.8S ribosomal RNA". Lineage: Eukaryota; Viridiplantae; Streptophyta; Magnoliopsida; Laurales; Calycanthaceae. The record is from RNAcentral.